GUGUGGCUUACUGGUAGAGCAUGUGCCUAAUCUGUGCAAGGACCUGGGUUCAAUCCCCAGCAC
This 63-nucleotide transfer RNA is filed under the name Fukomys damarensis (Damara mole-rat). It matches the Rfam family "tRNA", at positions 5 to 66 of the family's 71-position model. From Rfam's summary of the family: Transfer RNA (tRNA) molecules are approximately 80 nucleotides in length. Their secondary structure includes four short double-helical elements and three loops (D, anti-codon, and T loops). Lineage: Eukaryota; Metazoa; Chordata; Mammalia; Rodentia; Bathyergidae. The record is from Rfam by way of RNAcentral.